AGGUCACAAGAUUGCGCCAACCCUUACAUGGUCCUUAAAAAAAAAACCUUCUGACACUGCAGUAGUGAAAAUGAAGCGCACGAUGGGCGGAAGCUGUGAGUCCGGCAAAGUUUUAAAAUGAUGACGUAUUUUAUUAACUCUAACGGCACUGGCGGGUGACUGAAAAUACUAGUGCUGUGUAUGCGGGAUAGACAUUAUUUUCCUGCCCUACAUGAGGGGCUCGUGCGCGGAACGACAUGGGCAGCCCCGGCGGAAACUGCAGGCACAAGCCGGGACGCCGCGGGUUUAAAACAUGCGCGUGAGAGGAAGACAAACAUAAAGAUGAAGUGCUUAAUUCAAGGUCACACAAUGUCGGGGAUGGACCUCCAGAUUUCCUUACUGGAAAACAAGCUCAGGGCUCCCACUGAUUGUACAUUAUGGUGAGACGUGGUCUUGUAACACAGUGGUUAAGAAUGUGACUUUGGAGCCAGCCUGCUAGGGGCUGAAUUCUGACUCAGCCAUUUACUAACUGUGUGACCUUAGGUAAGUCAUUUACCUUCUUUGUCCCUCAGUUUCAUCUCGGUUAAGUAGGGAUAAUGAUAGCACCUAUUUUAUAGGGUUAUUGUGAGGAAUAAAUCCAAGUAAAAUGCUUAGAAUAGUAACUGAAACAUAGCACUCAUUAGGAAUGCUUUAAUUUUCAUUUAUUUGAGUAUUAAAGGUUGAAUUUUCAGAGGUAUUUUGGACCUUUGUAUUUUUUCUUUAAAUCACUUAUUCAUGACUUUUGAACUUUUUUUUUUCUUUUAGAGACAGGGUCUUGGUUUGUUGUCUAGGCUGGAAUGCAGUGGUGCAAUCAUAGCUCACUGUAGCCUUGAACUCUUGGGCUCAAGAGAUCCUCCUGCCUCAGCCUCGUGAGUAGCUGGGCCUACAGGCGCCUGCUACCACACCUGGCUAAUUUUUUAUUUUUUGUAGAGAUGGGUUCUUGCAGCCCAGACUGGUCUUGAGCUUUGGCCUGAAGUGCUCCUCCUGCCUUGGCCUCUCAAAGCAUUGGGGUUACAGGUGUGAAGCACUGCACCUUGCCUACACAUUUUUUCCAAUAAUUUUUUUUAUUAAUUUGUAAGAGUUAACAUGUCGACUAUCAUAUAUAACAUAGAAUUGUUCCCAUUUUGUCAUUUCCUUUCAACUUUGUCUAUGUAGCUUUUUUUCUGUGUGCAAAUUUUACAUUUUUAGGUAGUCAGAAAAUCUCUUCCCUUGUAAUUUUUUCUGCUACUAGACCAAUGUUUAGAAAAAAGCGUGCUUCCCCACCUCAAAAUUAUAAAAAUAGUUACUUGUUCUUUUUGAGUACUGUGUGUGUUUAAAUCUUUAAUCUUUAAAUUUAAAUCUUUGAUCCAUCUGGUAUUUAUUUUGAUAUGAAGAGAGUGGUUGGGAUCUGGCUGUAUUUCUUUUUUCUUUUUUUUUCUUUUUUCUUUUUUUGACGAAGUCUCACUGUUGCUCAGGCUGGAGUGCAAUGGCAUGAUCUCGGCUCAUCACAACCUCUGCUUCCUGGGUUCAAGCGAUUCUCCUGCCUCAGCCUCCCGAGUACCUGGGACUACAGGCACUCGCCACCAUGCCCGGCUGAUUUUUGUAUUUUUAAUAGAGAUGGUUUCACUAUGUUGGCCAGGCUGGUCUCGAACUCCUGACCUUGUGAUCUGCCCACCUCAGCCUCGAAAAGUGCUGGGAUUACAGGCGUGAGCCACUGCGCCCAGCCUUGUAUUUUUUUUCAGUUUGGGUAGCUGUCCCUAAUUCAUUUGUUAAAGGAGAAGCAAGAGCAAGAACCUUUAAUCUGUUCUCCUCUUCCCUAAUUUGAAAGUAGCUUGUUAUUUUGAAUAUCACUUUCUCUGAAAUAGCACAUCUCCAUCUCAGAGAAUGGAUUUAAUGUUUGGAUACAGCCAAAAGUCAUUUCAUUACCAAACCAUGGGGUGAAUAUACCAUGUAAAGCAGUUUGGGAUCAGAACUCACAGUCUGAAUUGUAAGUGAUGAGACUGCUGUCUCUCUGCUACAGCUUCUUGGCUGGCUCUGAAGGCUCUUUGAAGGCAGAUCCUAACAAGGGGACUGCUUUGAAGGGCCAUUGUUCAUUUGGAAUGAUAAAGUCUAUGUUGUUCAAAAAACAAAUGCUUGUAGCAGGUAUUUUUUCACUCCAGACUGAGAAUAUUGGUGGGAUAUUGAUAAGGGGUACUGAAUGGUAAUAAACAUGUGCUCUAGCUCUGUGCUAGUCAGCUUAUUUCAGAACUCUAGUUUGAUUCAGUUUCUUGCCUCUGACUCAAAAUGGAGGGAGAGUGAUUUUUACAUAAGAGAACACACCCACAUAUCCUUUUGGCAGCAGCUACCUGCCAGAGAUGUUGAAGAAGAGUAGCCAACCUUUACACAGCAGAUAUUGUGUGCCAGUCAUAGUCCUAAGUAUAAUACCUUACAUGUAUAAACUUCUUAUAAGGUUGGUGCUCUGUACCGAAUUGAAUAGUAUCCCCCAAAAUUCAUGUUGUCCCAGAACCUAUGAAAGUGAUCUUACUUGAGGGAGGGGGGAGGGGGGAGGGAUAGCAUUAGGAGAUAUACCUAAUGCUAAAUGACGAGUUAAUGGGUGUAGCACACCAGCAUGGCACAUGUAUACAUAUGUAACUAACCUGCACAUUGUGCACAUGUACCCUAAAACUUAAAGUAUAAUAAUAAUAAAAUAAAAAAAAAAAAGAAAGUGAUCUUACUUGGAAAUAAGGUCUUUGCACAUAUGAUCAAGUUGAGAUGAAGUUGUACUGGAAAGUCUGUCUAGUGACUGGUGUUGUCAUAAGAAGAGAGGGACACAGAGGGAAGAUGGCCACAUGAAGAUGGAGGCAGAGAUUGCAGUUAUGCUGCUGCAAACUAAGGAAUGGCUCUGGCCCUCCAAGGAUUGCUGAUAACCACCAGAAACUAGAAGAGACAAGGAAGGAUUCUUCCCUAGAGCCUUCAGAGGGAGCAUGGCCCUACUGACACCUGGAUUUCAAACUUGUAGCUUCCUAAACUGCAAGAGAAUAAAUUUCUGUUGUUUUAAGCCA
Molecule: long non-coding RNA, 3038 nt
Filed under: Homo sapiens (human)
Lineage: Eukaryota; Metazoa; Chordata; Mammalia; Primates; Hominidae
Description: PCBP1 antisense RNA 1, transcript variant 35 (PCBP1-AS1)
Source: RNAcentral